Molecule: small nucleolar RNA, 107 nt
Filed under: Nicotiana tabacum (common tobacco)
Lineage: Eukaryota; Viridiplantae; Streptophyta; Magnoliopsida; Solanales; Solanaceae
Description: Plant small nucleolar RNA R71
Rfam family: Plant small nucleolar RNA R71
About the family: R71 is a member of the C/D box family of snoRNAs containing the C (UGAUGA) and D (CUGA) box motifs. Multiple nearly identical copies of this snoRNA have been identified in Arabidopsis, and it is thought to function as a 2'-O-ribose methylation guide for 18S ribosomal RNA.
Source: Rfam by way of RNAcentral
AUUCUACUAUGUUGACAAUUUCUAACUAUCUCCUUAAACCUCUCCCAUGCUUCAAAAACAAUUUCAGUCUCUUUCUCGUAGAAGUUAUGGAUUUAUCUUCUAAUCUU